Molecule: ribosomal RNA, 460 nt
Filed under: uncultured bacterium
Lineage: Bacteria
Description: partial 16S ribosomal RNA
Rfam family: Bacterial small subunit ribosomal RNA
Source: RNAcentral
CCUACGGGAGGCUGCAGUGAGGAAUAUUGGUCAAUGGACGAGAGUCUGAACCAGCCAAGUAGCGUGAAGGAUGACUGCCCUAUGGGUUGUAAACUUCUUUUAUAAAGGAAUAAAACGAGGCACGUGUGCCUUUUUGCAUGUACUUUAUGAAUAAGGAUCGGCUAACUCCGUGCCAGCAGCCGCGGUAAUACGGAGGAUCCGAGCGUUAUCCGGAUUUAUUGGGUUUAAAGGGAGCGUAGAUGGGUUGUUAAGUCAGUUGUGAAAGUUUGCGGCUCAACCGUAAAAUUGCAAUUGAUACUGGCAGUCGUGAGUACAGUUGAGGUAGGCGGAAUUCGUGGUGUAGCGGUGAAAUGCUUAGAUAUCACGAAGAACCCCGAUUGUGAAGGCAGCUUACUAAACUGUGACUGACAUUGAUGCUCGAAAGUGUGGGUAUCAAACAGGAUUAGAUACCCUUGUAGUC